RNAcentral lists this ribosomal RNA (3447 nucleotides) under Triticum aestivum (bread wheat). RNAcentral describes it as "partial small subunit ribosomal RNA". Lineage: Eukaryota; Viridiplantae; Streptophyta; Magnoliopsida; Poales; Poaceae. The record is from RNAcentral.
AUGAUGUUUCACAACCUCUUCUGCAGAUUUUCAGAAUACCGAGGGAAAUAUUGCGUUGGAAGGAUCCCGGGUUGGCGGGGGCGGCCAGACCAGGUGGCAAAUGCGAUGCACAAGUUGAGGAGCGAAGGUAAAGAGGAGAGGCCACGACAACCCGAGCAGCAGCGAGGGGAUGGAUCAGCGGCCGGGCAGCUGCGUCGACCCGAGCAGUUGCGAGAGCGAAUGAAGCUGCAGCUGCACGGACAAGCUUGUGGAGAUGUUAGUAUGCACGCAUGCGUCCAUGAUUUGGAGCACGCCUCUGGCCUGGUAGGAUUCUCGCUCUGCCCCGACCUCAAGGGCGUUCGUCUAUCUGUGUUGUGCUCGGGGCGAUGCACUAAUGCAGGUGUGGUUCUUCAGCUUUUCUUUGUCUUUUUCUUGGUAUGUAUAUCUCUGAAUCUUGUGAGCCGUGAUUUUCAUGCUGCCAUAUACUUCAAUUCAUUCGUAUAUGGACUUCCAUCGCACUACGAGGAUGAUCCAUGGCUGGUCGCGGACGAUCACCUGCGAGGACGAUUCAUGGCCGGUUGGGGAUGGUCAGUUCCAUCACACUGCGAGGAGAUGAUUCAUGGCCGGUCGGGGAUGGUCACCUACGGUGAGCACGAGUACCUCCUCCAUAUCCUCCCUAUACUAGCACCCUUGGCGAUGAAAAUGACAACCAGGAGAAUCCCUCCUUCACACCUCUUUUCCAUCUCUUAUGCUACCUUGGCCAAUAUACUGCAUCAUGUGAAUGUUUCUCGUUCCCAAAAGUGCACUAUAUCUGGCCUCUCUGGCCACGAAGGCUGCAAGGUUGCACCUUGGAGCUCAAAAUUUGGUGUCUUCGCAUUGAAGGAUCCAAUCCAUCGACUUUGGAGUUUGAACAUGUCACUUGUGAUGGGGAGAGGAAGAGAUGACUUGCAUACACUGGACAAUGAGUGUGUUAGCAGCGUGCGAGAGGGCGACGAUAAGGACGGUUGUCUUCGGGUGUCCCCCAACGUGGUUGACGGGUUGGCGGGUUCUGGAAAUCGGCCCCUUCGCCGGAACUCGAAGCGUGCUGCUGAUCGCCAGCCACGCUCUGCACGUAGUGAUCAGCAGGGAGAGGAAGUUGAGGGUGUUGACCAGUUUCGGGUUGUAAAGUGGACUAGAUGUGCAGCAGUUGCAGGGCGAGUUGAAUCAUCUACUAAGUUGCACAAUAGCCAUCUUGUAGUUGACAUCAGUGGUCAUCUUGAUCUAAAUAGAGUUUUCCCAGAAGUUGACAUGAAUUGGCAUGCUCUGCUUUUCAUUGUUGUAGAAUAUUUUUUUUGUCUUAGUCGGCAGGAGUUGAUGGAUGAGCUGCCUCAUCUUCCGCAACAGAUGCUGAGCGAUGAAGGAGUUGAGGUGGGUGUAGGGGAAGAUGUGGAGCAACCAUCACAAGCGGGCAGGAUAAGGGCAUCACCAAGGCGGUUUGUGAAGUUCAACAACUCGCUAUCCCCAUUACAGAAGUCUGAGUUAGUUUCAAGGUUGUUUGGGGGCCUCUUGAACUUAUCAGAGACACUUCCAAUGGAUCUCACUAAAUUCCUGGUCCAGUCCUACCAGCGAGAGAGCUCUGAAAUGGUGUUCCCAGGCAAGGGAAGGAUCCGUGUCGAUGCUGACAGUGUUCACAGGGUAUUCGAUCUCCCAAACAGGGGUCAAAAAGUCAGAUAUGUAGUUGACAAGGAUGCAACUAGGAGAUUGAAAGAGGCUUUCAACAUAACUGGAAAUUCUCAUCCCCAGAUCAGUACAUGGUGCAAUAUGAUUAAGGAUAUGGCGGGAAAAACGGAUGACACAUUCUUUAUGCCCUGGCUUGCGGUUGCAUUCAACACUUUUCUAGCACCAACCACGGCCCUGAAGCUGAGCCCAAUGUGCUACGGACUUGUGCUAGAUCAUGAAAUGCUCAAGAACACAAACAUCUGCCUCUUUGUAGCAGAACACAUAAACGAAGCUUUCCGGAACAUGGACCAGGAGAAGCAAACUGUUUGCAUCUACUUGUAUCACUUGAUCAAGAAGGACUCGAUCUCUCCUGGUGUGUUCAGCAAAUUACAAAAAAAGGCAAAGAUUGCCAAAGUGGUUAAUGACCUAUGCAAGGCAGUAAUUGAACAGGUGGGCACCUUCAUUGAAGCAGUUGCCAAGAUCGAUGAGGAGGAGCCGGAUAUUGAUCCCUACGUACAACAGCCAUCAACGAGAACCGGCAUGUCACGCUGUGUUCCAAAAAGAAAGAGACGGGUUUCACCUAUACAACAAGAAGAAGAGUUUGUUGAGGAGGAGUCAGAAGAAGGUGAUGAAAUGGAAGCAGCGCAAGAUGUUGAAGAUGAAGAUGACACAAAUGAGGAUGAAUCAGAGGAGGAGGACAAAGAGGAGGAUGACAAAGAAGAAGAUGAGGAGGAGGAGGAAGAAGAAGAGGAGAAAGAAGAUGAGGAGGACAAAGAAGAAGAGGAGAAAGGAGAGGAGGAGGACAAAGAAGAAGAUAAUGAGUCAGAGGAGGAGGAAGAAGAAGAGUGGGGCAAACAGGGUGAUGUAGACAAAGGCGCAGGAGUUUAUGGCAGUGAGGUGGAAGGAGAUGAUGAGGAAGAAGACAAGGAUGUUGAUCGUGAUGAUCAAGGGGGAUCCAAUGGAGACAGUGACCACAACGAUGACAAUGAUGACAAGGGCCCUGGUUCUGGGGCUUUUCCAACCACUUUCCCUGUCCCAGACUUUCAUCACCAAGAGAUGUGUCAGAACAUCCAUUUUUCCAUUGAUCAGAAGCUGUUCUUAUUAAGUGAGGCUGAAAAGAAUCAAGUUGACAUGGAGGAAGCAGGGAAGGGUCUUGAUUGGAUUCAUUCGAAGGCAAAAUACAAGGAAUAUUUGAAGAGCAUUCCAGAUGUAAGCUCUAGCAAGAGCAAGGCAGCUUCCGUGGCAAACCCGCAUGUGGUCCAGAAGCGCAAGGCAGUUUCAAUGAAGAAGAAUAUGAAGUUGCCUCAGACCAAGCAACAGGUGUUGAGGGCAGAUGCUGAAAUAAAUGUGGAGAAGGAAGCUGUGGUGCCAACUGUUGGGAAGACUCCUCUGUCAACACUCCCACCUAAACCAGCUAAGCAGCAAAAGAUUGUUAAGUUUGCCAAGGGCAGAAAGGGGGAACAUGGCACAAAAGGUGUGGAGUUCAGACGAGAGACAGAAGAACGUGUCACAACCAUCAAUGCAGGAGCGCCAAGUUCAGCCAGAUUGCUGCCAACCAAGGCUGGAAAGAUGCCAAGUGCAGAUACUACUGUACCAACUGAAGUGUCAAUUAGCAAUGGGGUCACAGUCAAAACUACCAAUGUUAUUCAGGAAGCCACUAGUGCAACUGCAAGCCCCAAGGUGCCAACUAAUAGAGAUACUUCAAUGCCAAACACGGAAGGAGGUGAUCAAUCUGCCAAAUUGCCGUCUCCAAGAGCUAACACACAGUAG